AGAGUUUGAUCCUGGCUCAGGAUGAACGCUAGCUACAGGCUUAACACAUGCAAGUCGAGGGGCAGCAUGGUCUUAGCUUGCUAAGGCUGAUGGCGACCGGCGCACGGGUGAGUAACACGUAUCCAACCUGCCGUCUACUCUUGGCCAGCCUUCUGAAAGGAAGAUUAAUCCAGGAUGGCAUCAUGAGUUCACAUGUCCGCAUGAUUAAAGGUAUUUUCCGGUAGACGAUGGGGAUGCGUUCCAUUAGAUAGUAGGCGGGGUAACGGCCCACCUAGUCAACGAUGGAUAGGGGUUCUGAGAGGAAGGUCCCCCACAUUGGAACUGAGACACGGUCCAAACUCCUACGGGAGGCAGCAGUGAGGAAUAUUGGUCAAUGGGCGAUGGCCUGAACCAGCCAAGUAGCGUGAAGGAUGACUGCCCUAUGGGUUGUAAACUUCUUUUAUAAAGGAAUAAAGUCGGGUAUGCAUACCCGUUUGCAUGUACUUUACGAAUAAGGAUCGGCUAACUCCGUGCCAGCAGCCGCGGUAAUACGGAGGAUCCGAGCGUUAUCCGGAUUUAUUGGGUUUAAAGGGAGCGUAGAUGGAUGUUUAAGUCAGUUGUGAAAGUUUGCGGCUCAACCGUAAAAUUGCAGUUGAUACUGGAUGUCUUGAGUGCAGUUGAGGCAGGCGGAAUUCGUGGUGUAGCGGUGAAAUGCUUAGAUAUCACGAAGAACUCCGAUUGCGAAGGCAGCCUGCUAAGCUGCAACUGACAUUGAGGCUCGAAAGUGUGGGUAUCAAACAGGAUUAGAUACCCUGGUAGUCCACACGGUAAACGAUGAA
Molecule: ribosomal RNA, 818 nt
Filed under: uncultured bacterium
Lineage: Bacteria
Description: bacterial SSU rRNA
Rfam family: Bacterial small subunit ribosomal RNA
Source: RNAcentral